UAAUUCCUCUAGGAUCUUGAUCAAAUCUUCGUAGACCACUUACUAUGGUAAUUAUUUGUAAGAGAAAAACAGUACGACUUUAAAAAGAGUGGUUAAGGUCAAAAUGAAUCUCCCUGUAGGUAAUUACAAUUUAACGUCCCUUUUCAUAAGAGAUAUUCCUCAACAUUAUGUCUCUGUCUUCAGGACACUCCUUUGUUUUCUAUCUUGGUCUUCCUCGCAAUGGACCAUCUUUAGCUGUCUGUUGGGCAUCCUUUAUGCUUAAUGGGCCAUUGACUUUCUCUAUGGCCUUCUUUUUUUCUUCUACACUUCUUGAGUAUUCAUUAAAGGACUAUUUAAUUUUAACAUGAUCUUCAUGUGCCUCUUUUGUUGAUAAAGAUGUAAGGACAUGAUUCAAACCUUCCUUUCUCAGUGAAUAUCAAUUGGUGCGGCCGUAAUGUUGUACCUGUCUAUUAAACUACAAGGUCUUCCAAGUAUCAGGUGACUAGCAUGCAUAGGUACGAUAUCACAACAUACCUCGUCGUGAUUUUUUUGAUGGAGAACGAUACUAUGACUUGUUUGGUAACUUGAAUUUCGCCACACUCAUUCAACCACUGUAACCGAUAAGGAUUUGGAUGCUUGAUGCAUGUCAACCUUGCUCUUUUCACGAAUAGAGUGCUUGCCACAUUAGCACUGCUACCACUAUCAAUGAUCAUUCCACAUACCUUAUCAUGGACAAGGCAUCGCGUGUGGAAUAUGUUCUCCCUCUGGUCGUUGUCCUCUCAUUGGGCUUAUAGGUUCAUGACCCUUCGGACAACAAUGAUACUUUCUCGGAAUGAAAGCAUGUCACUUUAUUGAAACAUAGUGAAUUUUCCUGCAAGGUAAAGGUUAAUGAAAGAAAAUAUCUCCCUCACCUUCACUCAUGUUUACCUUGCAAUCUCUCAGUUGACAGCUUCGUCUGUCGAGUUGAGCAUUUGAAAUCGAAAUCACUUAAAUCAGGUCUACACGUUAGUCCUUAUGACACAAGGAACCCUAAAGGAUUCUGAUUUCUACUGAAGCUCAGAAACAAACACACAGAAAAAAAGAAUGGUGUGCUCUUUAUGCGUUAAACAACUAGUAAUAAUUAGUCACUUAAUUAUGUAACAGUCAUAAAAUAAAGAAAACAAAAAUAUAGAUCACAAAGAAUGACAA
This 1167-nucleotide long non-coding RNA is filed under the name Carica papaya (papaya). RNAcentral's name for it is "long non-coding RNA (CPAP_LNC000063)". Lineage: Eukaryota; Viridiplantae; Streptophyta; Magnoliopsida; Brassicales; Caricaceae. The record is from RNAcentral.